Molecule: long non-coding RNA, 573 nt
Organism: Athalia rosae (coleseed sawfly)
Lineage: Eukaryota; Metazoa; Arthropoda; Insecta; Hymenoptera; Athaliidae
Exons: 3
Source: RefSeq, a predicted model, not a curated record
CCUCUGAUCCUUUGAGUGUUCUCCAUUUCGAGACCAAGAAUGCAAUUAUCUGAAUAAAGGAAUAAUUAUAAUUACAUGUGAUCAUUAGUAUUCGUAAACGUCAGAGUUGUGUUCAACUUCGAUUUACAGGCUAUGCAACGUCAAAGAUGCUGGAGGAGCCAAAAGCCAACAAACCUGCAUUUUCCAACCAACGUUGCAUCCACAUCCAAAUAAAACUGACACGUAGCUUCACUUUUGCUUGGGUCUAUUGUCCAGCCCCAACAAUCGCAAACGUCUGGAGACUGUAGCCUCUGAUCCUUUGAGUGUUCUCCAUUUCGAGACCAAGAAUGCAAUUAUCUGAAUAAAGGAAUAAUUAUAAUUACAUGUGAUCAUUAGUAUUCGUAAACGUCAGAGUUGUGUUCAACUUCGAUUUACAGGCUAUGCAACGUCAAAGAUGCUGGAGGAGCCAAAAGCCAACAAACCUGCAUUUUCCAACCAACGUUGCAUCCACAUCCAAAUAAAACUGACACGUAGCUUCACUUUUGCUUGGGUCUAUUGUCCAGCCCCAACAAUCGCAAACGUCUGGAGACUGUA